UAAAAACUUUCUUAUGUUCCGGGUUCGAUGGCUGCUUCGUCUGUGCCAACUUCAGCCACCAGGUAUCGGAGGCUGCUUGCACCCUCUCCCAGCUGGCGGCGGGAGAGUACAACUGGCAGGCCGCAGCUGUGUCGAGCCAGAUAAAUGAUAAGAGCGACAUCACUCAGCACUCAUGACUCGGUUGGUUAGCAUACUGGGUGCAGCGCGGCAGCGUCAACCUUGUCAUCAUGUAACCAUAGGUCUAUUUACAGCACUGAACGCAACUAUUCUCAGAAAUUUAACAAAGAAAAUGUUUAAAGGUAAACUAUAUUAUUGUUAACUUACCAUAACCAAUAUCAAACUUGAAUGUAUUCACUAGACACUGGAAGUGCUCUCACUCACCAAAUAAUAUGUUCCAUGGUUAUCAUGUGCAAAUUUUGCUUUAUAAACUGAUGCAUAUUAUGUAUAUACAGAAACCUGUUAUGCUCUCUGAUAA
This is a long non-coding RNA of Portunus trituberculatus (swimming crab), 475 nucleotides long. RefSeq lists it as uncharacterized. The record is from RefSeq and is a predicted model, not a curated record. Lineage: Eukaryota; Metazoa; Arthropoda; Malacostraca; Decapoda; Portunidae. The transcript has 2 exons.